Molecule: ribosomal RNA, 484 nt
Filed under: uncultured bacterium
Lineage: Bacteria
Description: partial 16S ribosomal RNA
Rfam family: Bacterial small subunit ribosomal RNA
Source: RNAcentral
AUUGAACGCUGGCGGCAUGCUUUACACAUGCAAGUCGAACGGUAACAGGGUGCUUGCCCCGCUGACGAGUGGCGAACGGGUGAGUAAUGCAUCGGAAUGUACCGUGUAAUGGGGGAUAGCUCGGCGAAAGCCGGAUUAAUACCGCAUACGCCCUGCGGGGGAAAGUGGGGGACCGAAAGGCCUCACGUUAUACGAGCAGCCGAUGUCUGAUUAGCUAGUUGGUGAGGUAAAGGCUCACCAAGGCGUCGAUCAGUAGCGGGUCUGAGAGGAUGAUCCGCCACACUGGGACUGAGACACGGCCCAGACUCCUACGGGAGGCAGCAGUGGGGAAUUUUGGACAAUGGGCGCAAGCCUGAUCCAGCCAUGCCGCGUGUCUGAAGAAGGCCUUCGGGUUGUAAAGGACUUUUGUCCGGGAGCAAAUCCUAGUGGUUAAUAACCGCUGGGUCUGAGAGUACCGGAAGAAUAAGCACCGGCUAACUACGUG